This 382-nucleotide ribosomal RNA is filed under the name uncultured bacterium. RNAcentral describes it as "bacterial SSU rRNA". It matches the Rfam family "Bacterial small subunit ribosomal RNA", at positions 28 to 409 of the family's 1533-position model. The record is from RNAcentral.
AUUGAACGCUGGCGGCAUGCUUUACACAUGCAAGUCGAGCGGCAGCGCGGGGGCAACCCUGGCGGCGAGCGGCGGACGGGUGAGUAAUGCAUCGGAACGUAUCCCGUAGUGGGGGACAACCCAGCGAAAGCUGGGCUAAUACCGCAUAUGCUCUACGGAGGAAAGUGGGGGACCCGCAAGGGCCUCACGCUAUGGGAGCGGCCGAUGUCCGAUUAGCUAGUUGGUGGGGUAAAGGCCCACCAAGGCGACGAUCGGUAGCUGGUCUGAGAGGAUGAUCAGCCACACUGGGACUGAGACACGGCCCAGACUCCUACGGGAGGCAGCAGUGGGGAAUUUUGGACAAUGGGGGGCAACCCUGAUCCAGCCAUGCCGCGUGCGGGAG